GAAGGUACAGCUCAGUGGUAGAGUGCAUGCCUAGCAUGCACAAGGUCCUGGGUUCAAUCCCAAGUACCUCCA
This 72-nucleotide transfer RNA is filed under the name Camelus ferus (Wild Bactrian camel). It matches the Rfam family "tRNA". Rfam says of the family: Transfer RNA (tRNA) molecules are approximately 80 nucleotides in length. Their secondary structure includes four short double-helical elements and three loops (D, anti-codon, and T loops). Lineage: Eukaryota; Metazoa; Chordata; Mammalia; Artiodactyla; Camelidae. The record is from Rfam by way of RNAcentral.